UGGCGGCGUAGUGAAGUGGUAACACAUGGCUCUGCAAAAGCUUAAUCGUCGGUUCAAAUCCGACCGUCGCCU
This 72-nucleotide transfer RNA is filed under the name Lactococcus lactis subsp. lactis KF147. Its description in RNAcentral is "tRNA-Cys". It matches the Rfam family "tRNA". Rfam says of the family: Transfer RNA (tRNA) molecules are approximately 80 nucleotides in length. Lineage: Bacteria; Bacillati; Bacillota; Bacilli; Lactobacillales; Streptococcaceae. The record is from RNAcentral.